Molecule: long non-coding RNA, 2850 nt
Filed under: Homo sapiens (human)
Lineage: Eukaryota; Metazoa; Chordata; Mammalia; Primates; Hominidae
Description: non-protein coding lnc-CCDC125-23:2
Source: RNAcentral
AGCUGCAGCGGCCACCUGGAGAGCAGUGAAGCCAGUGCGCCGCCCACCUGGAAAGGUUAGCCGGGCAAGAGUGUGCGUUGCCAAUGCCAGCUCAGGAAAGGCCUAGUGGCCUUUGGAAGGUGACAGAGGCGCGGCCACAGUCUCAGAAGUGUCAAAAGUAGUUUUGGAUCUAGUGUUGCACACUUUCCAUUUCUACGGUAGCAGCAAUAAUAUAGUUCAUGAAAGGCUUUAAUAGACAUUCUUUCAUUUGAUCGUUGCAACAACUCUCUGGGUUGGAGGAACUGAAGCUCAGCGACUUAGAUGACUUUGCCAGGGUCACACAUUAGCAACGGGGGAACUGAAUUUAGGGUUUUUUUUUUUGAGGGGGAGGGAGGGGGUGUAUCCGUGUUGUUUUCACAACACUGAUUGUCCCUUAACAAUAUUACUUGAUUACUUCAAGAUUGUCCAGUUUCCCAAGGCCAAUUGUUUUGUUUGUUUUAGCUUUCUAUUUGGAAAUAAUUUCAUACUUAGACCAGUUGCCAACAAAAAUCUUGUAAGGAAUAUUUCUAUGCCCUUUACUCAGAUUCAACUAUCCUUAACAUGUAUUUGCCUCUCAUGGGAAAAUCAGGAAAAACUAAACAAAAAGACAUUUUACCCCAUUUGCUUUGUCAUUUGCUCAGAUUCUCUCUAGAUCCAAAGAAAAACAAGAGGGUUCUUUUUGCCUUCUACUCCUCAAAACACACCAGCAGCUCAGCAAUUGGAGGGGAGGCUGAAGGACAAAAACAUUGCUAUCCCAUAGAGCAACGGUAUAAGAGCCAAUAGAGACUCCUGGCGCUGGAAGUCACGGAUCCGAAAGAAGGCGCCCAAUCAUUUGGUUUCUUUGGAUCGUUAUUGAGUCUUCUGUCAUCAUAGUUCACCCUCCUACUCGAAUGCCUCCCGUGGGGCCCUUACCCUUGCUCUCCUCUGCCUGGAAUGCCCGCCUCUUCUUGCAUUCAAGCCCCUGGGUUCUAUUCAGGUAACUCCCAUUCAUCCUUCAGUUCUGUGUUCAACAUCCAUUCUCACUCAGUCUUUCUGGGUUUGAUCAAUCCUUCCUCGCCCCAUGCAGGGGCGAGAGGCAAGGGGCGAAGCAGGAUUACUUAUCCUCUGUGUUCCAGUUUAAAAAUUUUUUUUUUUACUUUUUUUUGAGACGGAGUCUCGAUCUGUCGCCCAGGCUGGAGUGCAGUGGUGCGAUCUCGACUCACUGCAACCUCCACCUCCAGGGUUCACUCCAUUCUCCUGCCUCAGCCUCCCGAGUAGCUGGGACGGCAGGCGCCCGCCACAACGGCCGGCUAAUUUUUUGUAUUUUUGGUAGAGACGGGGUUUCACCAUGUUAGCCAGGAUGGUCUCGAUCUCCUGACUUGGUGAUCCGCCCGCCUCGGCCUCCCAAAGUGCUGCGAUUACAGGCGUGAGCCACCACGCCCGGCCAAAUUUUUCCUUUUAUAUGCUUUAUUUUUUAGAGCAGUUUUAGGUUCGCAGCAAAACUUAGCAGAAAGUAUAGAGCAUUUCACCUGCCUUCCCCACUAUUGACACCCCACAUUAAAGUUGUACUUUAAUUAUAAUCUGUUAACCUACAUUGACACCACAGUAUUACCCAAAGUCCAUAGUUUACAUUAAGGUUCACUCUAGGUGUUGUGUCUUCUACGGGUUUUGACAAAUAUAUAAUGACGUAUAAUGUCCACCCGCCUCAACCUCCCAAAGUGCUGGUAUUGAAGGCGUGAGCCACUGCACCUGGCGGUCAGAAUGGUUUCUUUUACUCAAAUAUGCAUUUAAGGUUCUUCCAUGUUUUUUUCAUGGGUUGGGAUCUCAUUUUAUUUUAGCCCUGAAUAAUAUUGCAUUGUCUGGAUGUACUAGUUUAUUUAUUCAGUCACCUACUAAGUGACAUCUUGAUUGCGUCCAAGUUUUGGUAUGAAUAUAACUGCUACUAACAUCUGUGUGCAGAUUUUUGAGUGGACGUAAGUUGUUUUUGUUUUUCGUUUGUUUGUUUGUUUUUUGAGACGGAGUCUUGCUUUGUUGCCCAGGCUGGAGUGCGGUGGCGCCAUCUAGGCUCACUGCAAGCUCCGCCUCCCGGGUUCACGCCAUUCUCCUGCCUCAGCCUCCCAAGUAGCUGGGACUAUAGGCGCCCGCCACCAGGCCUGGCUAAUUUUUUGUAUUUUUAGUACAGACGAGGUUUCACCAUGUUAGCCAGGAUGGUCUCGAUCUCCUGACCUCGUGAUCCACCCUCCUCGGCCUCCCAAAGUGCUGGGAUUACAGGCGUGAGCCACUGUGCCCGGCUGAGUGGACAUAAGUUUUAAACUCAUUUGGGUGAAUACCAAGGAGCAAGACUGUUGGAUCAUAUAGUAUGUUUACUUUUGUAAGAAACCGCCAAACUGUCUUCCAAAGCUGCUCUACCAUUUUGCAUUCCCAUCAGCAAUCCUCACAAGCAUUUGGUGUUGUCAGUUUUUAAAAAAAUUGUAGCCAUCCUAUUAGGUGUGUAGUGGUAACUCAUUGUUUUUUGAUUUGCAGUUCUCUAAUGACAUAUGAUAUUGAGUAUCUUUUUCUGUGAUUAUAAUCUGUAUAACUUCUCUGUUGAGGUAUCUGUUCAGGUAUUUUGCCUAGUUUUUGUUUUGUUUUGUUUUUUGAGAUAGGGUCUUACUAUGUUACCCAGGCUGGAGUGCACUGGUGUGAUCAUAGCUCACUGUAACCUCAAACUCCUGAGCUCGGGCAAUUCUGCCUCAGCUUCCCAAGUAGCUAGGACUGUAGGUGUGAGCCACUGUGCCCAGCUAAUUUUUUUAUUUUUUAUUUUUUGUAGAGAUGGGAUCUCACUAUGUUUCCAAGGCUCAUCUUAAACUCUUG